RNAcentral lists this ribosomal RNA (441 nucleotides) under uncultured bacterium. Its description in RNAcentral is "bacterial SSU rRNA". It matches the Rfam family "Bacterial small subunit ribosomal RNA", at positions 958 to 1397 of the family's 1533-position model. The record is from RNAcentral.
AACGCGAAGAACCUUACCUACUCUUGACAUCCACGGAACCUGGUAGAGAUAUCGGGGUGCCUUCGGGAACCGUGAGACAGGUGCUGCAUGGCUGUCGUCAGCUCGUGUCGUGAGAUGUUGGGUUAAGUCCCGUAACGAGCGCAACCCUUAUCCUUAGUUGCCAUCAGGUAAAGCUGGGAACUCUAGGGAGACUGCCGGUGAUAAGCCGGAGGAAGGUGGGGACGACGUCAAGUCAUCAUGGCCCUUACGAGUAGGGCUACACACGUGCUACAAUGGCCGGUACAAAGGGAAGCAAAGCCGCGAGGUGGAGCGAAUCUCGAUAAAGCCGGUCGUAGUCCGGAUUGGAGUCUGCAACUCGACUCCAUGAAGUUGGAAUCGCUAGUAAUCGCGGAUCAGAACGCCGCGGUGAAUACGUUCCCGGGCCUUGUACACACCGCGAGC